RNAcentral lists this ribosomal RNA (396 nucleotides) under uncultured delta proteobacterium. Its description in RNAcentral is "bacterial SSU rRNA". It matches the Rfam family "Bacterial small subunit ribosomal RNA", at positions 333 to 726 of the family's 1533-position model. The record is from RNAcentral. Lineage: Bacteria; Deltaproteobacteria.
GAUCUCCUACGGAGGCAGCAGUAGGGAAUAUUGCGCAAUGGAGGAAACUCUGACGCAGCAAUGCCACGUGAGUGAGGAAGGUCUUCGGAUUGUAAAGCUCUGUCCUAUAGGAAGAACGGCACUAGGUAACGCUAGUGUUUGACGGUACUAUAGAAGAAAGCACCGGCUAACUCCGUGCCAGCAGCCGCGGUAAUACGGAGGGUGCAAGCGUUGUUCGGAUUUACUGGGCGUAAAGCGCGCGCAGGCGGACAAUCAAGUCAGAUGUGAAAUCUCGGGGCUUAACCCCGAAACUGCGUCUGAAACUGGUUGUCUAGAGUCUCACAGGGGGUUGGGGAAUUUCACGUGUAGGGGUAAAAUCCGUAGAGAUGUGAAGGAACACCAGUGGCGAAAGCGGCA